This 116-nucleotide non-coding RNA is filed under the name Helianthus annuus (common sunflower). The record is from RNAcentral. Lineage: Eukaryota; Viridiplantae; Streptophyta; Magnoliopsida; Asterales; Asteraceae.
UCGAGCCGGAUGAUGAAAAAUUAUCAUGUCCGGUUCCUCCGGGGGAUGGAUCUAUAAGGAUAGGUAAGGUGUCAUCGUUUAAGAUUGAAGCGUAGCACAACAGUCAUCGAUCCGAC